AACGAACGCUGGCGGCAGGCCUAACACAUGCAAGUCGAACGAGAAGCCACCUUCGGGUGGUGGAAGGUGGCAGACGGGUGAGUAACACGUGGAACGUGCCCUUUGGUUCGGAACAACUCUGGGAACCUGGAGCUAAUACCGGAUAAGCCCUACGGGGGUAAGGUUUAUCGCCGAAGGAUCGGCCCGCGUCUGAUUCGCUUGUUGGUGGGGGAAUGGCUCACCAAGGCGAGGAUCAGUAGCUGGUCUGAGAGGAUGAUCAGCCACGCUGGGACUGGGACACGGCCCAGACUCCGACGGGGGGCAGCAGUGGGGAAUAUUGGACAAUGGGCGGAAGCCGUAUCCAGCCAUGCCGCGGGAGUGAUGACGGCCUUAGGGUUGUAAAGCUCUUUCGCCAGGGACGAUAAUGACGGUACCUGGAUAAGAAGCCCCGGCUAACUUCGUGCCAGCCGCCGCGGUAA
RNAcentral lists this ribosomal RNA (458 nucleotides) under uncultured bacterium. Its description in RNAcentral is "partial 16S ribosomal RNA". It matches the Rfam family "Bacterial small subunit ribosomal RNA", at positions 28 to 523 of the family's 1533-position model. The record is from RNAcentral.